This 27-nucleotide small RNA is filed under the name Bombyx mori (domestic silkworm). RNAcentral describes it as "ovarian small RNA-33711". The record is from RNAcentral. Lineage: Eukaryota; Metazoa; Arthropoda; Insecta; Lepidoptera; Bombycidae.
UGCCAUUAGGGUGGCCGCUGUUGGGCU